This 21-nucleotide microRNA is filed under the name Marchantia polymorpha subsp. ruderalis. The record is from RNAcentral. Lineage: Eukaryota; Viridiplantae; Streptophyta; Marchantiopsida; Marchantiales; Marchantiaceae.
CAGGCCAUAGUCGGCAUGUGC